GGUCCUAUAGUUUAAUGGAUAAAACGUAAGAUUCCGGUUCUUAUGAUGGAGGUUCGAUUCCUCCUAGGAUCA
RNAcentral lists this transfer RNA (72 nucleotides) under Bacteroidales bacterium. RNAcentral describes it as "tRNA-Arg". It matches the Rfam family "tRNA". Rfam says of the family: Transfer RNA (tRNA) molecules are approximately 80 nucleotides in length. Their secondary structure includes four short double-helical elements and three loops (D, anti-codon, and T loops). Further hydrogen bonds mediate the characteristic L-shaped molecular structure. tRNAs have two regions of fundamental functional importance: the anti-codon, which is responsible for specific mRNA codon recognition, and the 3' end, to which the tRNAs corresponding amino acid is attached (by aminoacyl-tRNA synthetases). tRNAs cope with the degeneracy of the genetic code in two manners: having more than one tRNA (with a specific anti-codon) for a particular amino acid; and 'wobble' base-pairing, i.e. permitting non-standard base-pairing at the 3rd anti-codon position. Lineage: Bacteria; Pseudomonadati; Bacteroidota; Bacteroidia; Bacteroidales. RNAcentral also lists the same sequence under 1 other name. The record is from RNAcentral.